Molecule: long non-coding RNA, 103 nt
Organism: Xenia sp. Carnegie-2017
Lineage: Eukaryota; Metazoa; Cnidaria; Anthozoa; Malacalcyonacea; Xeniidae
Exons: 2
Source: RefSeq, a predicted model, not a curated record
ACAUUAAUGUACACAUAAAGGUUGACAUAAAGGUAGACAUAAAGGUAGACAUAAAGGUAGACAUUAAGGUUGACAUAAAGGUAGACAUAAAUGUAAACAUAAA